AAAAAUGGUCUCAUUGUUAUGGGUGACCUACCCAAGUGGAAGAGUAUGACUUACCAGACAAAAAAACUUGGCAAACGAAGUCCUGACAGGAUAAAAGCUGACAAAUGGCGCUUCCUGAUUGCAGGGUUGACUUGAAGACUCCUUUUGAUGCCAGGGUUGAUUUCCUUAUUUCUUUGAGAUUUUCCUACUGGUAGGGUUCAUCUCAUUCUUUUCUCAUUCCAGGAUCUAAA
Molecule: long non-coding RNA, 230 nt
Filed under: Populus tremula
Lineage: Eukaryota; Viridiplantae; Streptophyta; Magnoliopsida; Malpighiales; Salicaceae
Description: long non-coding RNA (PTRE_LNC003304)
Source: RNAcentral